UUAGCAAGAAAGAAAUCUUUCACCCAACAAGUGCUCUCCGAACCAAGCUAGAUAGUUUCCUAUCACUAGGCUCACCAACCAACCUGGACUUUGAUUUAUCUUAUUCCUACUUUCAGUGGAUAGGUCGGACUCAAGAAGCAAAUAAAGAGUCUUCUUCUGAACUUAUGGGAUUCUUUCCAGCCAUGAGUUCCUAUAUGACAUAAGCGCUCUUGGGGCCGGCCAUUCCAUCUUUUCUUUGAGAAGGUCGUAUUUGAUGGUCGGCGUGGCGAUAGGCUGAGCUUCGUAGACUGCCUCCCCAGCCCUUGCAAAGACUGAGCGAGAACGGUAAGGGGCGCACAAAGAAUGUCGUUGCGCGGGGAUGCGAU
Molecule: long non-coding RNA, 365 nt
Filed under: Cucumis sativus (cucumber)
Lineage: Eukaryota; Viridiplantae; Streptophyta; Magnoliopsida; Cucurbitales; Cucurbitaceae
Description: long non-coding RNA (CSAT_LNC000012)
Source: RNAcentral